CCUACGGGGGGCAGCAGUGAGGAAUAUUGGUCAAUGGACGAGAGUCUGAACCAGCCAAGUAGCGUGAAGGAUGACUGCCCUAUGGGUUGUAAACUUCUUUUAUAUGGGAAUAAAACGUUCCACGUGUGGGAUUUUGUAUGUACCAUAUGAAUAAGGAUCGGCUAACUCCGUGCCAGCAGCCGCGGUAAUACGGAGGAUCCGAGCGUUAUCCGGAUUUAUUGGGUUUAAAGGGUGCGUAGGCGGGUUUUUAAGUCAGCGGUAAAAUUGCCGGGCUCAACCCGGGCCGGCCGUUGAAACUGGGGAUCUGGAGUGGGCGAGAAGUAUGCGGAAUGCGUGGUGUAGCGGGGAAAUGCAUAGAUAUCACGCAGAACUCCGAUUGCGAAGGCAGCAUACCGGCGCCCGACUGACGCUGAGGCACGAAAGCGUGGGGAUCGAACAGGAUUAGAUACCCUUGUAGUC
This 459-nucleotide ribosomal RNA is filed under the name uncultured bacterium. Its description in RNAcentral is "partial 16S ribosomal RNA". It matches the Rfam family "Bacterial small subunit ribosomal RNA", at positions 338 to 795 of the family's 1533-position model. The record is from RNAcentral.